RNAcentral lists this ribosomal RNA (634 nucleotides) under uncultured Pseudonocardia sp. Its description in RNAcentral is "bacterial SSU rRNA". It matches the Rfam family "Bacterial small subunit ribosomal RNA", at positions 28 to 674 of the family's 1533-position model. Lineage: Bacteria; Bacillati; Actinomycetota; Actinomycetes; Pseudonocardiales; Pseudonocardiaceae. The record is from RNAcentral.
GACGAACGCUGGCGGCGUGCUUAACACAUGCAAGUCGGGCGGUAAGGCCCUUUCGGGGGUACACGAGCGGCGAACGGGUGAGUAACACGUGGGUGACCUGCCUUUAGCUCUGGGAUAAGCCUGGGAAACUGGGUCUAAUACCGGAUAUGACUCCAUAGUGCAUGCUUGUGGGGUGGAAAGCCUUGUGCGGCUAGGGAUGGGCCCGCGGCCUAUCAGCUUGUUGGUGGGGUGAUGGCCUACCAAGGCGACGACGGGUAGCCGGCCUGAGAGGGCGACCGGCCACACUGGGACUGAGACACGGCCCAGACUCCUACGGGAGGCAGCAGUGGGGAAUCUUGCGCAAUGGGCGAAAGCCUGACGCAGCGACGCCGCGUGAGGGAUGACGGCCUUCGGGUUGUAAACCUCUUUCAGCAGGGACGAAGCGCAAGUGACGGUACCUGCAGAAGAAGCACCGGCCAACUACGUGCCAGCAGCCGCGGUAAUACGUAGGGUGCGAGCGUUGUCCGGAAUUAUUGGGCGUAAAGAGCUCGUAGGCGGUGUGUCGCGUCGGCCGUGAAAACCUGUGGCUUAACUAUGGGCUUGCGGUCGAUACGGGCAUCACUGGAGUUCGGCAGGGGAGACUGGAAUUCCUGGU